Molecule: long non-coding RNA, 939 nt
Organism: Syngnathus acus (greater pipefish)
Lineage: Eukaryota; Metazoa; Chordata; Actinopteri; Syngnathiformes; Syngnathidae
Exons: 2
Source: RefSeq, a predicted model, not a curated record
CUCCCGACUUCUCCCGAGUACAUCGUCCACUGCGUCUGCGUCACCGUGUUCUUCUACAGCGACGAUUCAAGAGAACUGUUGCGAAAUACAACUUCCGAGCUGGAAACUGACGCCCAGAGAGGGCAGUGGACAUGUUGGGAAGUUUCAAGCGCGGUUAACUUGUAGAGGGACGGCUAGGAAUCGUUUGUUUACUCCAGUUUCGGCGUCGAUGCUACUUAGCUAGCUAACGCUCGCAAAUUCGAAGCGAACGUUUAAAUCCUCCCCGACGGGGUUAACGUCCGUCGAGUCUGACAGCUCCCUAUGGAGUCUGCUCCGCGGUGAGGUUUGGCAAGAGAAGGACCUUUGACUCACCCGUCUGAGCGCUUCCCGGUGGUCCUUUGGCGCUCUCUUUAUCAGCUAUAUCUCCUCGGAAGGAUUUCCAAGCAGAGCCACAUCACCAAACUCUCCCGGAAACAAAACCUGCUCGCCGCUGAUUGGACGACACGGGGAAAAAUAAUGCAGUAAUGGUAAGACACGAUCAGGCAGUUAAGCUGAUCGUCAGCCGUGGCAGGCAGCUGGGUCGAAGCCUGGCGUUGCUGGCCCACUACGUGACGCUCUUUGCGGCCUUUGUGGGCCGCUUCGUGCAGUGGAUGGCGGACGCCGGGUGUUGGACCACGCACCUCACGCGCUGCACGCUAGCCGCCUUUGAUGGCGUCUACACGCACCUGCGACGCGUCUUGAGGUGGAAGACCAGUGUGGACUGACCGCCGCACAUCUCGUUUGACUCUGCAAACCUCACGCGAGGCCUUACGCUAGGGCUUUAUGUUACAUUUGUACAUGUUGUUGAAUAGUUUUUAUCUGAAAGCCAAUGCCUUUGACAGGCAGGCAUAAUAUGUCUGACAUGAUGUAACGAUACCACUACAAAAACAUAUAGUUUUAGGAAAUAGUCAAUGUUUAGCC